UCAGUUGUGCCUUUUGGAUAGAUGUG
This 26-nucleotide non-coding RNA is filed under the name Rattus norvegicus (Norway rat). Lineage: Eukaryota; Metazoa; Chordata; Mammalia; Rodentia; Muridae. The record is from RNAcentral.